This 495-nucleotide ribosomal RNA is filed under the name uncultured bacterium. Its description in RNAcentral is "partial 16S ribosomal RNA". It matches the Rfam family "Bacterial small subunit ribosomal RNA", at positions 28 to 507 of the family's 1533-position model. The record is from RNAcentral.
GAUGAACGCUGGCGGCGUGCCUAAUACAUGCAAGUAGAACGCUGAAGGAGGAGCUUGCUCUUCUGGAUGAGUUGCGAACGGGUGAGUAACGCGUAGGUAACCUGCCUGGUAGCGGGGGAUAACUAUUGGAAACGAUAGCUAAUACCGCAUGACAACAGUUAUUGCAUGAUAACUGUUUAAAAGGGGCAACUGCUCCACUACCAGAUGGACCUGCGUUGUAUUAGCUAGUUGGUGAGGUAACGGCUCACCAAGGCGACGAUACAUAGCCGACCUGAGAGGGUGAUCGGCCACACUGGGACUGAGACACGGCCCAGACUCCUACGGGAGGCAGCAGUAGGGAAUCUUCGGCAAUGGACGGAAGUCUGACCGAGCAACGCCGCGUGAGUGAAGAAGGUUUUCGGAUCGUAAAGCUCGGUUGUAAGAGAAGAACGAGUGUGAGAGUGGAAAGUUCACACUGUGACGGUAUCUCACCAGAAAGGGACGGCUAACUACGUG